GUGAUAACCCUUCAUCAUCAGUUCAUCACCCAGCUGUCAAGCACACCCUACCCAGCCCUCUCCACCCAGCUGCGGACCUUUCACUACCGAUGAGGACCCUCGCCACCCCGCUGCGCUCUUUCCCAGCCCUUCAUCUUCAUCACUGCGCUAUGAGAACCCUCGCACCCUCAACGCAAGCCUCCUCCUCAGAUUCACAACCUCGCACCCUCUCUUGCAACCUUCCAUCGGCACUACUCCGUCGGCGUGUCCUCCCUCAAUCGGCGUUGCCUAUCCCUAACUCGGUGCUCAACCCUUGAGGUUUCUUCGAUACUGCACUCUCCUACGCAUCUUCACACAUCCAAAAAUGUUGAGGAGACUUUUCAAGAAACAAUUAAAUAGCCACAGAGCAUGACUACUGAAAUAAAGGAAGAUGAUGCACCUUGCAGUGAAGUCAAAGAAGAAAACAACACAACUACUUCUCAUGUGGUUCCUGUUGAUACGGAAAGAAGUGAAGAUGUUUGCAAAGGAGAGAGCUCAUGCUUAGGGAUUUCAUCAUCUGGAGAUGGGUCUGCUGAAGUAGCAAAAGAUGCUUGCACUCCCAAACCAACAUUGCUAAAAAGAUUGACAACCACCACCUCCAAGAAGCAAGAGACAGCUAAAAUGAUAGGCACCAGUAAAAAACCAACUGAAAAGCCUAGGAAGGGUGUUAUCCUUGCGAAGAAAAUCAAUGAUGCUGCUGAUAGGUGUUCGAGCUGAACUAAAUUGAAUAAUUUACCAAGCUGCAACUUCAAUUGCAAUAUUGUAUUGGUACUCUCUAGUCCUUUCCUUUCAAGUUGAUAUGUCAAAAUGCAGUUAACUAUUCCAAUGCUUAUGUGCUGCAAAAAGCAAUAUAGCGUAUAGAAUCAAUCAUAUAAGGGUAGUUAUGGUAAGUUUUUUUUUCUUUUUUAAAUUAUUCUCAUGAUAAAAUUAUUGAUACAUUAUUCAACAUAGCAUAACUGAAUUGUUUGCUUUUAUAAUGUUCUUGGAUAUGAUCUAAUUGUCCUUCUAUUCAACUAGUGUAACUUAGGUUUCUAAGUCUAACCACAAGCUGGAUCUAAAUCUGAACUUUCCAUUUGUGACAAAGUCGAUGAAAGAAGAGGCAUGGUCUACUCUUGCUUGCCAUAAAUGUCCCAUAUCUUUAGUUACAUACAUGGAAUACUGCCUCAUUGAACUUUUCCAAAUCCUGAAAGAGCAAAGAGAGAAUUUCUACAUUCAAGUUGUUGCUUUUGCUAUACGUGAGAAUGCAAAGUCUUUGAACUGCAAUAUGCAGUCUCUUUGGCAUUGAACAAGCAUUACUCUUUAUGCAAAUCUCUACCACUAUCACCAUCCACAAGAUCUUGGGUUGAACCACCAUGUAGUGAAGGAAUUUGCAGACUAUGCAGAAUUUCGUUUCUAAGACAUUUAGGACAGAGUGAAGAACUGGAUAACAUUCGAUGAACCAAGAGUGGUAGCUGCUCUUGGCGCUAUGACAAUGGUUUCUUUGCCCCUAGAAGGUGCUCAAAGGAAUAUAGGAUUAGCUCACAAAAUGGAUCACAAAAUGCAUUUGGAAUGUUAAAUUGAUGGGUUGAAGUAUAUAAGAUUAGAUAAAUUCAUUCUUGGGGUUAUAUGCAUAAUAAGCCACUGCUUGUCUGCUUAUUCAGUCUUGGGGUUAUAUGCAUAAUAGGCCACUGCUUGUCUGCUUAUUCAAUAAAAUAGUGUAUUAGAAAGCUCACAUUGGAUUAAGGAACUGAACUUAUUUGUGGAAUAAUGUUUAUAGAAUAUUGAUGUGCAUCAAAAUUAUUCUCU
Arachis stenosperma is the source of this 1803-nucleotide long non-coding RNA. RefSeq lists it as uncharacterized. The record is from RefSeq and is a predicted model, not a curated record. The transcript has 6 exons. NCBI's taxonomy places the organism in Eukaryota, Viridiplantae, Streptophyta, Magnoliopsida, Fabales, Fabaceae.